GACGAACGCUGGCGGCGUGCUUAACACAUGCAAGUCGAACGGAAAGGCCCUGCUUGCAGGGUACUCGAGUGGCGCACGGGUGAGUAACACGUGUGUGUUCUGUGCUGCACUCCGGGAUAAGCCUGGGAAACUGGGUCUAAUACCGCAGAUGAGCCCUCCUUCGUGUUGUGGUUGGAUAGAUUUUUCGGUGUAGGAUGAGCUCACGGCCUAUCAGCUUGUUGGUUGGGUAAUGGCCUACCAAGGCGGCGACGGGUAGCCGGCCUGCGGGGGUGGACGGCCAAAUUGGGACUGGGAUUCGGCCCAGACUCCUACGGGGGGGAGGAGUGGGGGAUAUUGCAAAAUGGGGGGAAGCCUGAUGCAACGAAGCCGCGUGGGGGAUGACGGCCUUCGGGUUGUAAACCCGUUUCGCUAGGGACGAAGCUGUGUGUGACGGUACCGAGAUAAGAAGCACCGGCUAACUACGUG
RNAcentral lists this ribosomal RNA (465 nucleotides) under uncultured bacterium. Its description in RNAcentral is "partial 16S ribosomal RNA". It matches the Rfam family "Bacterial small subunit ribosomal RNA", at positions 28 to 507 of the family's 1533-position model. The record is from RNAcentral.